This 506-nucleotide ribosomal RNA is filed under the name Chryseobacterium sp. RNAcentral's name for it is "bacterial SSU rRNA". The record is from RNAcentral. Lineage: Bacteria; Pseudomonadati; Bacteroidota; Flavobacteriia; Flavobacteriales; Weeksellaceae.
CACAAGCGGUGGAUUAUGUGGUUUAAUUCGAUGAUACGCGAGGAACCUUACCAAGGCUUAAAUGGGAAUYGACAGGUUUAGAAAUAGACUUUUCUUCGGACAAUUUUCAAGGUGCUGCAUGGUUGUCGUCAGCUCGUGCCGUGAGGUGUUAGGUUAAGUCCUGCAACGAGCGCAACCCCUGUCACUAGUUGCCAUCAUUCAGUUGGGGACUCUAGUGAGACUGCCUACGCAAGUAGAGAGCYWAGGUGGGGAUGACGUCAAAUCAUCACGGCCCUUACGCCUUGGGCCACACACGUAAUACAAUGGCCAGUACAGAGGGCAGCUACCARGCGAYWGGAUGCGAAUCUCGAAAGCUGGUCUCAGUUCGGAUUGGAGUCUGCAACUCGACUCUAUGAAGCUGGAAUCGCUAGUAAUCGCAUAUCAGCCAUGAUGCGGUGAAUACGUUCCCGGGCCUUGUACACACCGCCCGUCAAGCCAUGGAAGUUUGGGGUACCUGAAGUCGGUGA